RNAcentral lists this ribosomal RNA (270 nucleotides) under uncultured archaeon. RNAcentral's name for it is "partial 16S ribosomal RNA". It matches the Rfam family "Archaeal small subunit ribosomal RNA", at positions 477 to 747 of the family's 1478-position model. The record is from RNAcentral.
CAGCACCCCGAGUGGUCGGGACGAUUAUUGGGCCUAAAGCAUCCGUAGCCGGUUUUACAAGUCCUCCGUUAAAUCCAGCUGCUUAACAGAUGGGCUGCGGAGGAUACUAUAAGACUAGGAGGCAGGAGAGGCAAGCGGUACUCAGUGGGUAGGGGUAAAAUCCGUUGAUCCAUUGAAGACCACCAGUGGCGAAGGCGGCUUGCCAGAAUGCGCUCGACGGUGAGGGAUGAAAGCUGGGGGAGCAAAACGGAUUAGAGACCCGAGUAGUCC